GACAGAGGUGGCAAGCGUUGUUCGGAAUCACUGGGCUUAAAGGGCGCGUAGGCGGCUUGCCAAGUCAGUGGUGAAAUCCUGCAGCUUAACUGCAGAAGUGCCUUUGAUACUGGCGAGCUCGAGGGAGGUAGGGGUAUGCGGAACUUCUGGUGGAGCGGUGAGAUGCGUUGAUAUCAGAAGGAACGCCGGUGGCGAAAGCGGCGUACUGGACCUCUUCUGACGCUGAGGCGCGAAAGCUAGGGGAGCAAACGGG
Molecule: ribosomal RNA, 253 nt
Filed under: uncultured bacterium
Lineage: Bacteria
Description: partial 16S ribosomal RNA
Rfam family: Bacterial small subunit ribosomal RNA
Source: RNAcentral